GUUUAAGUAAAAUUUGCAUUACUUAAAAGUAAUUGCAGCUUUUGCCAUUACUUAAAAGUAAUGGCACCAACCUAAUAUUGUUAUUACUUUUUACCAACCUAAUAUUGUUAUUAACUAAAGUCCAUCAUUUAUACAUAUUGCCUUAGGUUUUUAAAAAAUUUUUUACCUAAUGACUUUUUUGUGUUCCAGGAGCCCAUCCAGGAUACCACUUUUUUUUUUUUUUUUUUUUCUUUUUGAGAUAGAGUCUGGCUCUUUUGCCCAGGAUGGAGUGCAGUGGUGCGAUCUUGGCUCACUGCAACCUCCGCCUCGCAGGUUAAGUGAUUCUCCUGCCUCAGCCUCCUGAGCAGCUGGGACCACAGGCAUGCGCCACCAUGCUCAGCUAAUUUUUGCAGGAUACCACAUUUUAUUUAAUUGUCAGGUCUCCUUAGCAUCUUCUUGGCUGUGACAGUUUCUCAGAAUUGUCUUUGUGAUGACCUUGACAGCUUUGAGGAGUGCUGGUUGGGUAUUCUGUAGGAUGCCCCUGUGUUGGGAUUUUUAUGAUGUUUUUCUCAUGAGUUUCCUGGAGUUAAUGAAUUUCAGGGAGGAAGACCCCAGAGGUCUGUUUUCAUCACAUCAUAUCAAGCAUUCCACCUUCAUUAUGACUCUUCACUGUUGAGGGUGACUCUGAUUCACCUGGUCAAGGUAGUGUUCAUCAGGUUUCUCCACCACACACUUACUCUUGCCCUCUACUUUCCACACUGCUGUCUUUGGAGGAGUGUUACUAUGCCCAAGUCACGCUUGUGGAGUGGGGAUUUAAUGUUCUCACUCUUCGAGGGUAGAGUAUCUGCAUAAACUACUUGGAAUUCUGCAUGGAAUAUUUGUGUCUUCUCCCCCAUUUAUUUAUUUAAUCAUUUAUUUAUAUCACAGUAGACUCAUGGACAUUUAUUUUAUGCUUUAUGUUAUAAUCCUAUACUACUUUAUUUAUUUUGUUGCUUAAAUUUUUCCAGAUGGAACAAUUUGGGCUUCAAAAGUUGCUACUGUUGGCUCCUGUGUUCUUGUGAUGUACACACAUCAUGGUGUGGUGUGUUUUUAUCUUUGGUUUUGUUUUCACUUCUUUUUUGCUUUUUGUGCCUCUUCUUCCCUCUUCCCCACCCCUCAUACAUACACAAAGGGCAGCAUGCUACUAUUAUUUCUGGAAUCUCAGCCAUAUUCUUCUUUUCUUUUGUUUUAAAUAAAAAUCAUACUAGAGGAGUAGGCAGUGUGGGUGAGUUCUCUCACUUUACAUUUUACUUUGCAUAAUUUAGGCCCCUUUUAGGCCCUCUUCCCCCUGCACCCCAGGUGUGUUUGCUACCAUACCUCCCCAGGGGAUAGCCCUCCAAACCUGCUUGGCCACCUAUUCUGGUCUUAAAGUCCCAAAGGGAGGCCAUCACAAACUACGCAGUAUGGAGAAGACCUGAAUCCUAAUUUUGGCUUAACCCCAAACUUGGGCGAUUCAGUUUUACCUGUGUCCUCUCUAUACCAUAGUUUCUUCACUUUAUGACAAGGGGUUUGCUGUGGCUGGUCUCCAAGGCCUCUUCCAAUCUUGACAUUCUAUGAUUCUGUAAGUCUUUGAAUAAUGGCCCAGGAUGCCAACAAGAAGUCACCAAUGAGAGUUCAGUUGUUCUGUUGGAAAUCUUUGUAAAAUCACAGAGAAAAGGAGAAGAAAAAGAAGAAAGAGGAAAAACUGGACUCAUAAAUAGGAAGACAAAGAAUGAAUGUGGGCUGGGGAGGGAAGAGUCAUUGACAGGGACAAGAAAUAAAUAACUUUGAUGCAAAUCCUGGGAAGACUCUGGAACACCAUAGAGGCACCUAUGUUAACUCUAUUUCAUUUUGGAAAAGUUGACUAGACAAAAGGUGCAGAGUAGAGUAUGCAGUGAUUUCAGGGUGUUGGGCUCUGACAAGAUAAUGCCGACUUAGACAAUGUUAGUCAACAUCAAAUGUCUGGAUCAAGAGAGGCAAGAAUCCCGUGGAUUUGGCAUUGGCCAGAACUUGUCUGGAAUCUUGUUUUCUGCCUUGAGUGUCAACUGUUGAGAGCUCUGUUGACAAACUGGCAUUUGUCCUUGGGAGAGUAGCCUCAGGACCAGGGGUGAAGAGUUCAGUAAAGUGUGUUUAACCGAAGGAAAGAUACAGGGUGUGUCAGAUUUUGUAAGGAUUUUCAAGGAUCAGUAGAUAGUGGCCCUACAGUGGAAUGAACCUUCACACCAAGGAUCUGCUUCCUUUGUUGGAGGUGGGAAAGCAAAAGCUGGAUUCUUGGAAUUGUCAUGGCUGCCGUCUAAGUGAUGCUACCUUGAGUGGAGGGUUUGGCCAACUAAGGAGUAAGGCCUCUCCCUCAUGUCACAUUGAGUGGUGCUAAUAUUUCCUGAAGUUUCCCUUUCUUUUCAGUUCAGUGUUUCAGAAUCUCAGCCUUCCAGCAGAAUCCCCUUUGUUUGCUCUAAAUAUACAUUCCCAAGCCCCGUGUGGCCAUUCUGAUACACUAGGUCUGGGGUUGGGGGGUUGUGGGUGCCGAGAAUCAGUAUUUCUAUCAAGCUCCCAAGGGGACCUGAUAUAUACAUGGAGCUGAAAAGUACCCACCUAACAGACUUGCCAGCUCCUUAAGGAUAAGAACCAUAUUUUCUUCCUUUUUUUGUAUGCCUCCCCAUGCAAGGAUAAUUACACAGAAUAAGCACUGAGAUGCCUGUUGAUGGAUUUAUUCCAGCAAAUUUUUUUUUAGCUCUCUUUGUCUGGAACUUUGCAAAAUAAACACCAUGGUCACUCCGUGCUUUGUGAGUGACGUGCUAGAAUGGAAUUUCACUGUUUUAAAUUCAGGCUUAAUUUCUUGCUUUCAAAUGAAUUAUGAAAGGAAGAGGAGAGACCUUUGGAAAAGUCUGAAUGUUGAUGCCGACGACUAGCCAGGCGCUUCCCUUCCAGCUGGUUUCGUGAGGGAUUAAGAGGCCACUGUUGUGAAUCUCCCAUUAGUGAUGGUCCCAGGCCCCCUCCUCAUUGUGCAUUUAUCUUACAAGAGGCAUAUUUAGGAGAUGUUUCCAUUCUAUUUUAUCUGCAGAAUUACUUUCCAUUCUCAGGUCUUUUAUAUAAGUAUUCCCUUGAACCCAUUCCAAAAACUGGAUUUUUAACCCAAUAGACCAUAACUGCAGUGUUUUAUUGUGCUUACAUAUUUCAAAAUGUGAAUGUAAGUAGAUUUAGCAAAGUUAAAAUAAAAUGAAAACUUUUCAAAGGGCACCACUGCUCGCAUUCCCAUGUUGGAGUUUUCCCUUUGGGGUUCUUAUGCCAUUUUAAAGACUCUGAAGACAGGAAGAAUUUUUCUCUUGGGUAUUUUUUUUUUUUCCUCUGCAAGGGAUGGGGUCAUAAGACAUUGGUGAGGUUAGGCCUUCCUUUGUCUCCCAGGAGCACACUUGAUAGCAAUGUAGGAUGAAUUCCAAAUCUGUGAGUUAGUGCCAUAUAUAGCAGUGUUGUCAGUAAGAUUUCUCACUGGCAUCUCUGCUUCCCCUCUUGACUCUCUUGAAAUCUCUUCUUCAGGCAGAGGCUGGAGUCAUUUCUCUAAAAUAGAAAUCUGAUCUUGCCACCACCCUACUUGCCACUCCCUGCUUAAUCCCUUCACUGGCUCACCAUAUCCCUUAGGAUAAAAUAACAAAAUCCUUUCCAGGGCCUGCAAGACCCCUGCCAACCUCUGCAGCUUACUUUGUACCACUUUCCCCAGAAACCUGCUACCUACCCUGCUCCUUGCCACAGGGCCUUUGCACAGGCUCUUGUCUCUGGCUAGAGUAGUCUUCCCAUCCUGCUUUAGCUAAUCAACUCUUUCUCAUCAUUUAGGGUUCAAAUGGAUCAUCACUUUCUCUGGGGUGCAGGGGUCUUUCAUAUAAGUAUUCCUUUGAACUCAUUCCAAAAAAGUGGAUUUUUAGAAAUAGAAAAAACAAAUUUAGAAAUAGAAAAUUAAUUGAGUUUUAGUUUUUAGAAAAUUAUCUAAGAAGUAGAUUUUUAGAGAUAGAAAAUUAACUUAGAUCACAGAAAAUUAUCCAAACUCAGUUAAUUUUCCCUUUUCCAGCAACUGUAUUUGUCCUCCCCACUUCUCUUCCCUGCCUUCUUUUUUUCUCCUUAGCACUUACAGUGUCUCACUCAUGUAGACUCGAAGCUUCACAAGGGCAGGGAUUUUAGUCUAUUUCAUUGAAAAUCUGUCACCAGUCACUGGCCCAGAGAGAGUCCUCAAAAAUAAUUGUUGAAUGAAUGAAUGAAUGAAUGAAUGAUGAUGGCGUGAUGAUUGUGUAUUCCUCAUCUGGCUGUAAGUUUCACAAGGCCAGGCACUGGGGUCCUAUUUUGCUCACUCUUGCUGUGUGGGAAAGAGUUAGUACAGCAGACUGUCGCAAGCUUGGCUCUUGGCUGCAUCUGGGAACUUGGAAUUUAGGAGGGCUGUCACCAUUCCCAGAUCAGAUAAAGAUGGCUCACUCUGUCUAGGCUGCUUGUACCAAAAAUAGGGCUCAUGUGGAAUACCUGCUUUCCUUUGUGGAGGCUGGAAUUUUGUUAUAUGCUACAGAGAGGGUGCCUACAUGACCAACUUCCAAUAAAAACUGUGGACACUGAGUCCCUAAUACAUUUCUCUGGUAGACAAUACUUCAUAUAUAUUUUCACAGCUCAUUUCUGGGGGACUAAUUAAAUACAUCCUGUGUGACCCCACUGGAAGAGGACAUUUGGAAUCUUGUACCUGGUUUUCUCCAGACUUCGCCUCAUUCACCAUUUCCCUGUGCUCAUUUUGCCUUGCAUCUUUUUGCUGUGAUAAAUCUCAGCCAUGAGUGUGACUGUAUGCUGAGUCUUGUGAGUCUUCCUUGCAAACUACCAAACCUGGGUUGGCAUUUCAGUGCCUGACACAGUUGUAUUCCUAAGAUAUAGUUGGGACCAGACCUCAAGAAAAUAGCCAAGAAAUACUGGCUGAAUGAACGAAAGAGGCCAUAUGCAGUCAGCCCCCCUCUCUCUGGGUUCUACAUAUGUGGAUUUAACUAAUGACGGAUUAAAAGCAUUCGAACAAACAGAGGGUGGUAUCUGUACUGAAAAUGUACCAACUGCUUUUUUUUUGUCAUUAUUCCUUAAACAAUCCAACAUAACCACUAUUUAUAUCGUGUUUAUAUUGUAUUAGGUAUUAUAAGUAAUCUAGAGAUGAUUUAAAGUGUACAGGAGGAUCACAUACAUUAUAUGCAAAUACUAUACAAUUUUAUGUUAGGGACUUGAGCGUUUGUGGAUUUUGGUAUUUGGGGGGGUUCCUUGAACCAGUCCCCUUUGGAUACUGAGGGACAACUGUACAAAUCAAAUUUAGGAGUGGAUGCAGGUCAGUCGUGACAUCUCAUCCGCCCCUUCCUCACCCAAGAUUCUCCGUGGCUUGUGUGAAAUCCUCACCACGUCAGAAUAUUUCUGCUCAUGGUUGCUGAGACAGAGCUGGACAGGUCCAGCAUCCAUUCCCCAAAACAGAACUCAAACUGACGAUCAUCAAGAUAUUCCAACUAUGGCAAACUGCAGAAGAAUUAGGACAGAUGUAUGACUUAUUUCAUAUAAAGCUAAAUCAGUUUAAUUUAUAUGAUUGUCCUUUAUUCUGAGAUUAUGUUCAACAGAUAUUUUCAGUGUUAAAAUAUUCUUUUUUUUUUUUUUUUUUUUUUUUUUUGAGGCAGGGUCUGGCUCUGUCACCCAGUUUGUAGCACAGUGGCACGAUUUUGGCUCACUGCAGCUUCCUCCUCCCAGGCUCAAGAGAUCUUCUUGCCUCAGCCCUCCAAGUAGGGCUACACGUGCGCGCCAACAUGCCUGGCUAUUUUUUUGUAGGGACAGGGUUUCAACAUGUUGCCAAGGCUAGUCUGUAACUCCUGGGCUCAAGCAAUCUGCUCACCUGGGUCUCCCAAAGUGUUGGGAUUAUAGGUGUGAGCCACCAUACCUAGCCAAAAUAUUCUUUUCAAAGUGAUUAGAAGUAGGAGAAGCUUGCUCUCUCUUUAUUGGCACUUCUGUCUUACAUGCACUUUUGAUUUAAAUUAUUCUGUCUUCUAUGAAAUGACAGUGAUUGGAGGUGGUUUAUUUUUUUUUAAGUCUGCUUACUUGGAAAAAUAAAACAAAGUUGACAACCUGAUUUCAGACCUCCCAAUUUUUUCUAAAAAAAAAAAAAAAAAAGUCUUCUUGGUCCAUGAAAUCCAGAAAGUGGAGACCAAACUAGCAAAUUCGCAAGGAGCUGCUUGUUAGAAAAACACUUGAGAUCAAGAGUCAGAAAUAUCUGGGUUGAAUUCCAAUUCUCUCAUAUUAAGUGACAAGUUGCAGAAUGACCCUGUCUUUCUGAGCUGUGUUUUUAUAUCUGUACAAUGGGGUUAAUACUACUAGUAUUUGCUUCCAGGGAUUGUUUUGGAGGGGAGUGAGGAAUAAAUGAUAUAAUUCACUAAAACACGUAGAAUAGUAUUUGACACAGAGUAGGUCAGCGUGCCCAAAGUAUCAGAGUCAUUAUUGAGUUAUUCCGCUACCUCUGUAUUUGAGUCCUUUCUUUUGGGCUUUCCUACUUAACGUCGCAGAUGUUAUUUUUUUGGAGAGGGUGUAGGCCAAGAAAGGGGUGGGAGAAACGAGGAAGGUGUUGAUAGAACCCCUUAGUGUCCUCCUCAUACCACAGACCCUCUCUUCCCCCACUUACUUGGCCAAUUUUUUUUUUUUUUUGGUGGAGUCUCGUUCUGUCUCCCAGGCUGGAGUGCAAUGGUGCGAUCUCAGCUCACUGCAACCUCUGCCUCCCAUAUUCAAGGGAUUCUCCUGCCUCAGCCUCUCGAGUAGCUGGGAUUACAGGCGCGUGCCACCACGCCCAGCUAAUUUUGUAUUUUUAGUAGAGUUGGGAUUUCUCCAUGUUGGUCAGACUGGUCUCGAACUCCUGACCUCAGGUGUGAUCCACCCGCCUCAGCCUCCCACAGUGCUGGGGUUACAGGUGUGAGCCACUGCGCCCAACCUUUUUGGCCAAAUUCUUGCCUGAUCCCCUCUCCACCCCUGCUACGUGUAAUAGAAAGGUAGGGCCAUGUUGGAGAGGGAUCCAACAUUUAUUAUCCCCAUUUUACAGAUGAAGAAGUUAAGGUGGCCAGGCAUGGUGGCUCAUGCCUGUAAUCCUAGCACUUUGGGACGCCGAGGUGGGUGGAUCACUUGAGGUCAGGAGUUUGAGAGCAAUCUGCCCAACAUGGUGAAAUCCUGUCUCUACUACAAAUAAAAAAUUAGCCGGGUGUGGUGGCGUGUGCCUGUAAUCCCAGUUACUCGGGAGGCUGAGGCAGGAGAAUCGCUUGAGCCUGGGAGGCAGAGGUUGCAGUGAGCCGAGAUCGUGCCACUGCGCUCCAGCCUGGGUGACAGAGCAAGAUUCCAUCUCAAAACAAAACAAAACAAAAAAACAAGAAGUUAAGGAUUGGAGAGCAUAAGUAUCUUCUAUGGGGCUACCCAGCUAGGCGGGGACAGGGCAGGGAUUUGAACCUAGGAGCUCUUGGAUUGCAAUUUUUCAUUCACCCCUCCCUCUCCACCCUUCCUGUCUUCAAGCCUGAGCAGGUGAUACUGCAUUUUGUACCAUAUGACUUUAAAACAGAACCACGAGUUCAGAACUUUGGUUAGGUCCUGCCCGAGUUCUCUAGCUAACGCACGGCAACGCUGGUUUCCAACCUUUCACUGUGCGGGUUUCUGAUGAGUACGCUGGCAGGCCUCUGGCUUCAGAGAUGCCACUACAAAGGUCUCCUCCUUUUCAUAAACAUUGCUGCAAGGCCCGCUUCUCAAGAAAGCAACUUGUGCUACCUCCUGCGUGCUUUUAUGCUUCGCUGUGAAGUGCAAAGUUGGGCUGGCAGGCCUGGCUUUCUUCUCCUCUUUAUGUAUGAUUCAUCAAGAGGACUCCAGGCUGUGGUGUGCGGUGCAACCCGGGCUGUGUUCCCGAGUGCAUCAAAAGGGGAUUGGGACCUGUUUUCCUUCCCACUUACAUAUAGGUCACCUAUGGGAGCAGGGGAGGAACCAUCUGAGGUGUUUUUUUUUUUUUUUUUUUUUUUUAGGUUUCUCAUUGCUGAGAACAGUUCCAGCUCUGCUGACCAAAGGCUGAGUGUCCUUUUAUUAGUCUGAGCCCCUAGAGAGCCCAAAGAGGCAACCCUCGAGCCAACUGACAGCCAGCUGUGGGGAUGGAUCCUGUUUUUCAUGCAAUGAGCACUCUUGAACCCAGAGAAGGUGCAGGUUGGAGAUGCAGCUAUGUGACUCUGUACCAGAGAGAGACGUUUUUGUACAUUUGGAAUAAAAAUUUUUAGCAUUAGAGAUUCACUUUUUUGGGUCUAAAUACAAAUGUCCAGGAGAAUAGGAAUGCCAUAGUGGUGAGCUAAGAGCAGGCAGUUAGUUAAGUGUAUGACAAGUGUCUCAUUAUAAAUGGAUGCUGAAAUGUCCAAGUGUGGAAAUGAUACGCUUCAGCUCUUAUUUUUAAGUCAUCCUUAUCUCUUUCACUUAUUCCCUCAUUCAGGCACCAAAAAUGCUGUUUGACUGGGAGAGCAAGUGGAGCUGUUGAAAGUUCUAGGGACAGCCGGGUGCGGUGGCUCAUGCCUGUAAUCCCAGCACUUUGGGAGGCCAAGGCGGGCAGAUCACAAGGUCAGGAGUUCGAGACCAGCCUGGCGAAACCCCAUCUCUACUAAAAAUACAAAAAUUAGCUGGGCAUGGUGGCGGGUGCCUGUAAUCCCAGCUACUCAGGAAGUUGAGGCAGGAGAAUCAUUUGAACCCAGGAGGCGGAGGUUGCAGUGAGCCAAGAUUGCGCCACUGCACUCCAGCCUGGGUGACAGAGCAAGACUCUGUCUUAAAAAAAAAAAAAAAAGUUCUAAAUCAGUGGAUCCUGCCGAUAAACAUCAUCUGGAGGAAUGAAGCUGAGGGCCAAUGGUUUAGAGGCUCAGCACCAGACUGGAGAGAGAGAGAGAGAGAGAGAGAGAGAGAGAGAGAGAGAGAGUGUGUGUGCGCGCAUGUGUAUGCGCUGGUGUGUGGGUGGGCUUGAGAAAAGUGCUGACUUUGUGAACGAGGAGGAGGGAAAAGGGUCCAGAGCAGUAAAGAGCCUGUAAAUAAAUUCAUACCAGCUUCAGCCCCAUGCCUUCACUUGGGAUUCCUCAUCCAACCCUGACGGCUUCCCUGCAGGACAUAUUUCCCCCUCUUACAGAUAGGAAACCUUGCCCAAUGUGAUUACGCCAGGAAGUCAGAUUUCAAAUCUCAGUGUGCCUAAUGCCAAACCUGUACCUCUUGCCACUCAACAUCUGCAGUCAAAGCCUUCCUGACUCAGGAUUUGCUGGGGUCUGGCUCUGGGCUGUUAGAAUUAGAUGCAUGAGACCCUCCUUUCAGUCUAAACCUUAAGUAUUUUGCCUGUUGGACAGAUGCCUGGUUGUCCCUUUAAUCCAUCGCCCAAAAAGCCUGAGGAAGGAUGGCAGGUGGACUUGGAUCUAGGCCACUCCCUUAGAUCCUGAUUAGGGGACCUCUGCGACUGCUCAUCUGGGAGGAACUACGGGAGCGCUAAUGUGUUGUCCUUGACUGGGCAAGAAGGGAAGGAGAAUUGUGAAACAUGCACAAUUAGAAGUCGUGCACCUGGGGUUGUUGAGAGGAUGAAGUGCUAAAAAUGCGUGACCAGCAUUCACACAGGCACUAAGACGGUAAGUACUCACUACUUAGCGCUGUCAAUAUCAUCUCCGUCCACAUCAGUGUCGUCAUCGUCCUUAUGAAAAGCCCUGGGCAUCAUUUUGCCCUUGAGCUGGAUGUCCAUGUUGGAAAAACAGCUAGUAGAAGGCGUGCCCAAAUCUCAGAAGUUGGCGUUUCCUUGCAGAUAUCAUUGGUGGCCAUUGUAGGGGAAAAAGAUGCUUUGGAAACCAGGACACAGAGAAAAGUGCCUCGUAUUAUACAGAGCCAAGAGAGGUCACUGUGGAAGUACAGAGGAAGCCUUGGCCUAAUUGCACGGUUAAUACAAUUCCGUAACUCAUCCUGCCAACACGAAGGUAGAUGGACGGUCCUUAUCCUCGCUGCGGAACAUUGCCUGUGUUUUCCUAGGAGAGACAUCUGCACUCUAGUAGUGAUUAGAAUGCCUUUGACAGGCUCUUGCUAUUAAGAGUUUCUGGCUCCAGUUUAAUAAAAGGUAGUAUAUUAUAAUGGAAACCAGGUUAUUAUUGAUAAGGACUAGACAUAUUAGAGACCAGGUUAAAGCUUUGAUAGUCCCAAAUGCAAGGGGAGGGAGCUAAGGGUUAUUGCAAACCUACUAUGUGUCAAUUGCUCUACCAGACACCUCAGAGACAUCACAGCCAAAGACCCCCACCUUUGAAUAAACCAAGUUUGGCCUCUCUGAUAUAUUAAUAUAUUUAAUCAUCAGACUUUCAGUGUUAAAGGAGAUUACAGUAGAGGCAUCCAGUUGAUUGGGGAAUAGUUGUUGCAAAUGAUAAGCUCUUUUGAAUAAACUGAUACUGACUUAAUGAGGUUCUGCUGUGUACUAUCUUUUUUUCCCUAAUAGAAAAUAGAGUAGCUGCCCUCCCCAUCCGCCAUCCUCAGUCCUUUUGCUUACUAGUAAUGACCCUCUUUUCUCUCACUCCAUGGGAACUUUUAAAACUGAUAAUUAAUGGAUUUUUAGCCUCAAGUUUCUGGAAUUCUAAGAGGGCCUGAAAGGUAAGUGCUCACUUACUGAGGUGUGUGAACAAAAACAGGCAACCUAGCUCAGCAAGUAAGAAUGGAGUGGCAUCUCCCCACCUGCUCUGGAGUCAUGUGUUUGCUUCUGGAAGGGAGGCAAGAGGCAUUCAACCUCCUGUUAAUUUGGUUGCUCCUUCAGAUACACUCUUCAUGGUACAGCCCUGAGCUGCAUCAUUUAAAGACCAAUUGUUAAGGACCAAUCUGAGGGCCUGUGCAUUAGUUAAAACUCCUUAUCUGGUCAUAGAGGGUGGUGUGGUUUGGACGCGUUCCCCUUGUCUGUGCAAUUCCCAACAGAGGCAAGUGCGCAUUUGAGACACGUUGAGGGUUCAAGCUGUCCAAUCCCUGCUCAUCUGCAGCACACCAAGGAAUGUGGACUAAUGAAAAAUAAAUUGCAUUCAUGCAAUGCCCAUCACGCUGCCUGCAUUUUCUAAUCUUCACAAUAACUCUGUGUUGAGAAAUAUUCCUGCCUGUAAUCCCGGCACUUUGGGAGGCUGAAGCGGGCAGAUCACCUGAGGUCAGGAGUUCGAGACCAGCCUGGCCAACAUGGUGAACUCCCCCCAACCAACGCCCCUUCCCAUAUCUACUAAAAAUACAAAAAUUAGCUGGGCAUGGUGGUGGGGACCUAUAAUCCCAGCUACUUGGAGGCUGAUGCAGCAGAGUCUGUUGAACCCAGGAGGCAGAGGUUGCAGUGAGCCAAGACAGUGCCACUGUGUUCCAGCCUGGGCAACAAGAGUGAAACUCUGUCUCAAAAAAAAAAAAAAAAAAAAAAAAAAAUUGUUUCUGGCCCCACGUUACAGAUGAGGCUUUUAAAGAUACCCAGCCAAUGGUCCACAGUGAUGUAACUCAUCAGUGGUCCACCUGACAUUGGAAAUUCGGUUGCUUUGGAACUUUCUACUACCUCCCCUUUCCUUACUCACUGACAUCAUUCCCAGAUCAAAGAAAGAUAAAAGAAGGAAGGGCUGGAGACAUUGUUUUCCUGUAUGCUCCUUGAUGAAGGGCUCAGAGCUAAGCGCGGAGUAGGUGCUUAAGCCCUUCCAUUUGAAAGGAGCUUUAAAUACCUUUGGUGGCAACUAAGAGUGUCAAAAUGGAGGGAUGUAUAGGGGACCUAGGGCCUGGGUAACAUUGUGCCAGCCCAGGGCCUAUUGUGUUGUGUGUGUCUCCACUUUCCAGCCUUUAGGAAUGCAGAGGGGGACCUCUGUAAUUGGUACCAGCAUCCUUUCCUUGCAGGGUCCGUCCUUCCUCUGAGUUUGGGGAAGGGGUCUCCAUGGUAGACCCAGAAUCACUUUCAUCUUGCUCACCUGUCUGUGCAGUGUUUGAGUUCUUCCCUGGGAAGCUUGCUCACAUCAUCCACUUCUCUCUGGGUUCUCUGUACCGCUUUCCCCAAUCCAAGCUAAGCUCUUCUCUUAGUUAUUCUAAUAACUGCCCAAUAUCAGGCACUACCCUCAACACUGUUUCCCAUGGCAAUUAUUUUACAUGACAGUUUAAAAAACAGGAAUGCUCGAUUUGUAUUCCCAUUUUGCAGACAAGCCAACGAAGGCUUGGAGGGGUUGAAUGGCCCAAGUUUCCUAAGUGGCCAGGGGCAGAGUCAGGAUCUGAACCCAAGACAUAGGCCCAGGAGUCUGUGUUUGUUCUUUAAACCUCUCUAUUCAGUUGCCCAGCUCUUUUCAUUCCCUGUCCUUUCCCCCUCUGGCUGUGUCUGCCUUUCCAACCCCUACCACCUUCCACCACCAUUUUUUUUUGUUUCCUCUGCAAGCAACAUCUGAAAGGCCCAGACCCAGCUUCUUGGCCUUGGGCUCUGAUAAGAUCUGUCUGCGCUCCUUUUGUCUGGCCUGUACCUGCCUUUUCUGAAUGACCCUGUUAAUUGCAAUUGACUCUCAUAGAAUGUGGAUAGCAGUGCCACUUGACACCAGACUAAUGCUUCUGACUUUUCCAUGGUGCCCCAGCAGCAGGCUGGAGGGAAGGGCGGGGGCGGUCAGAGGAGAGAUAGAGCACUUCAGAUUCCAAUCAAAUACAUUAGAGCAUUAGAGCUUUUCUCUUCCUCAGGGUGCUCUCUCUCUCCGGGUUGGGAGGAGAUGUGGCAUUUCUAGGAAUUCACAGUAAAAUCAGAAAUAAUUAGGAGAUUUCACAGUUGUAGCUCCUGUGAAGAUUCAGGAAUUUUUUUUCCUUCUAUUUGCAAGCUUUAGUCAUAGGCAUGGAAAAAGGACUUUGAAGAAAACCUGAGAGAUAUGAGUGUAAAACAAGAGAAUCAUUCCCUCUGGGGUGCUAGUAGUGGGGGCUUAAUUUCCUAAAGGCUUACUGGGUAUCAGGGCUGCCUUCCUUUAUAAUCUUUUACCCGUCCUAUGGGGGAUGAACAGAAACACACUUUAGUGCUAGAAAAGCUGGGCCCAACAGACCAGUCUCCUGUUCCAUACUUGGACAUUUAUUGUUCUUUUUGGGUAAGGUGAAAACUUGAAACCAAAAGUCUGUUGAGUUUGGAAGACUUGACUCCCAGGAUGUACAAAGUACUUCUGCAUGUGCGCAAAGUCCUGUAGGCACAGACAUCAAUGACACAUGCAGUGUGGGCCCAGGCAUCGAUGACACACGCAGGGAAGCAACCCAAGCUGGGUCAGUCCUUACAAGGAGACCGGCACCUGGGCUCACACCUUGCCGUAUAUGACUUCAUGGGAACCUCACAACAGACCUGUGGGCUCAGAAUUAUUCUCUCACUUUGCAGAUGAGGAAAUAGAAGUGCACAGAAGGAAAGUAAGAGUGUUUGAGAUCCUGUAGUGGGUUCAUUGCUGAGAAUAAACCUGGAGUUGCCUCUGGGAGGACCUGGUGGUGGGUGGGAUGGAGAGAGAGGCCCCCCUCUCCAGACUCCAGGGGCACAGAUUGGAUUUUUUUUUUUUUUCCAGACAGAGUUUCACUCUUGUUGCACAGACUGGGGUGCAGUGGUACGAUCUUGGCUCACUGCAACCUCUGCCUCCCGGGUUCGAGUGAUUUUCCUGCCUCAGCCUCUGGAGUAGCUGGGAUUACAGGUGCCCGCCACCACGCCCAGCUAAUUUUUUGUCUUUUUUAGUAGAGGCAGGGUUUCACCAUGUUGGCCAGGCUGGUCUCAAACUCCUGAUCUCAGGUGAUCCACCUGCCCCAGCCUCCCACAGUGUUGGGAUUACAGGUAUGAGCCACCAUGCUAGGCCCAGAUUGGCUUCUCUGUGAGGAUGAGGACUAAUAGGAAGAUAGAGUGGUAAUCUAAUGUCAACUGUGGAGGGAGUGGGAGGCAGGUGUUCGCAGGGCACAGCUGGUUUCCUUUUUAAAUCCCACACAGUGCUGGGGCAGUUUCAUAGCCUGUGACCACACAGAUAGGAAAGUGACACAGCAACACCAGGCAGAUUCAUUUUCUUUAAAUGAGAGGUUCAAAAUAGAAACACAAAGCAUUGAGUAUUGAGAAGAAAUGGAUCUUCAGGUUUGGAGGGAGGCCGAUAGAGAGUGUCUGGAGUUGCCAACGUCCUCUCCUUGGGUCAUGGGUGUGUGUGUGUGUGUUUUCUUCUUCUUGUUGGGUUUUUUUUUUUUUUUUGGCUUUUGCGCCUAUGGUGACUUUUCGCGAAUGGAUACUAUUGAAGGAAUGUUUCACUUCCAAAUCCAGAUCUCUGACUUCCCUUGAAAAUUUGGAGUGCCACUCAAGUCGGCCGCUCUGAGCUAGAAUCCUGGUGUUCAGAAUUGGCAGGAAGGGCACAGGGGCAAGGUAUAGGCUCACGUCUCCACAUUCUGCACCUCCCAGGCUCCUGCCAUUGAUGUGAGCGGGUUCCUGUACUGCAUGAAGCAGGGGUUUGCAUCCGAAACAGCCACCCGUGCUGAAUAUGUAGGUGAUGCGUUGAUCUGUACAGCAAACUACCAUGGCACACAUUUACCUAUGUAACAAACCUACACAUCCUGCACAUUGUACCCUGGAACUUAAAAGUUGGUGAAAGAAAGAAGGGGCCGGGCAUGGUGGCUCACGCCUGUAAUCCCAGCAUUUUGGGAGGUCGAGGCAGGCAGAUUGCCUGAGCUCAGGAGUUGAAGACCAGCCUGGGCAACACGGUGAAACCCCGACUCUACUAAAAUACAAAAAAUUAGCCGGGCGUGGCAGUGUGUGCCUGUAAUCCCAGCUAUUCGGGAGGGUGAGGCAGGGGAAUUGCUUGAACCUGGGAAGCAGAGGUUGCAGUGAGCCGAGAUCAUGCCACUGCACUCCAGCCUGGGUGACAGAGCGAGACUCUGUCUCCAAAAAAAAAAAAAAAAAAAAAAGAAGAAAAGAAAGGAAGGACAGAUGGAAGGAAAAGGGAAGGGAAAGGAAAGGAACCAGCUGCAAAAAUUGUCCUAACUGAGCAUUACUGUAACAUAGAACAGCUGAAACAUUCCUCAAAGCUGAGAGGAGGGUUUGGGAGAGAAGCAGGCUGUGGUUGUGAACAGGUGCCUCCUCCAAAAAAAUUCUCUUCCUUGGAUUUCAAAAUGACCCCGGUUGAGAACAAAGCCUUUCACGCUGUGUUUAUUUUUUUUCAGGUCUAAGUUUCCCCCAGGAGAUUUUUUUUUUCCAAAGGAAAAGGCAGAGAAGCCCCCAGACCGGAGCCACAAUCAAAUGCAAAUAUGACAAUAGGACCCAUCCUGGAGAGAAAAAGCCUUCUUUUUAAUUAGAAGCCUGGAAGGACAUACCCUUUAAUUGCUGCACUUGUAAUGUCAGGGCUAUCAAUAUCCGUGGCUCUUUCAUUAAUAAACUGGCUAGUCAGAAAGCAGCAGGAGUGGGAACCUCUCCCCACCCAAUCCCCUCUCACACCCCAAGCUCUAUUUAAUCAACUGCAGACUCAAUCAAAUGGGGAAAAGAACAUGUAAAUCAGCCGCAUUCAUUCUGCUGGCCCUAAAUAGGCAGAAGGAAGGGAAACAUGAAAGGGAGCCUUCAUCUGUUUUCCUGCAGAUGCCCGGCUCGUGGUUAACCCAAGCAAGACGGCCCCGCAGAUUGCGAGUGACUCCGGGAAUGCCUAGGUUUAUGUAUGGAUUAACACAGUGAUAGACCCUGAGUAGCAAAAGACGAAGACUAAUUACCUGACAGAGCUCCCCUCCACUCGCCUGGGUCAUUGAAAUUAAUUUCUGCUUUCAAGCUUGGCAGAAAGCAGCUGCAGAAUUUCAGUUCAAUACUUAAAUUAACGGGGAGCCGAAAUUAUUUCUGUGCACAGGCAGUAUUAGAGGAGUGGCUUACCAAAUAGAUCUUGAUCGCAGACACCGAAAAAAGGAUUAUUCCUCCCUUUUUAUCAAGAGCCGUAAGUCCUUGGAAAAUGCAAAGAGGGGGAAAAAGAAGAAAAACAACAACGAGUUUAUUGGAGAGUUAACACUUAAAUACUCCAGUACAUUGAGUGUGACAUGCCUGUGUAGGAGACUGUCUGUCCCCCAAAUAAUUGACAAUUUCUCUCCAUCUAACACGAAAAUAUAUGGCACUUUUAUAUAUACUUGAAUUGGAAUCCCUAAUCCAGAGAUAAUUUGUGAAUAUCCAUUCUAUAGCAUCCCAUGUUGUCAAGAAGGUGUUGACUUACUGCAAGGUUAAGGAAAUGGGUGGAGAAUGUAGGGAGGAGGUGGAGGAUAAAGGAUCGGACUAGGAAUCAGAGUUGGGAUUUGAACCCAGGGCUUCUGUCUCCAGAUUCCUCAUUCUGUCCCUUUAUGCUGACUUUCCUUUUUUGCUCAAAGUCUCUCUCCUUGCUUCUUUCUCUUUGGGCUCCCUGCUUUUAUUUCAGCCCUGAUGGAAUCUGUCGACUUUACUGAGCUCCAUAUAGGUGCACCAGGUCAGAUUCAAUGCUGCCUAGGUCCACAGUCCUCAGUUAUUUGUUCCUGUGAUUUUCCUGCCACCGGGAGCCGCUUGUUGGAUGAGAUUUCCGGGCAAGUUGAGUCUCCAUGUUUUUGUCGUGGGCUACUGCCAGCUGAGAUAUGGAUGAAGACUCCCUUUCAUGUUUCCCUUCUUUGGUGUCCGUGGCAGUUCCCACCUCGACCGCGAUGGUAUUUCUUUUGCUUCUGCUGAGGCUGUGUGUGGGUGCACAUCAGGAUACCUCAGUGGGGAACUCUGGGCGUGAGGCACACUCAUGACAGAUGCAGGAAAAACAUCUCUUUUCUAACUGUCCAGCUCUUUAGGAUUAGGAAAUACUUUAAUAAUCAACCAAAUUCUAGAAUCCUACUGCCAAAUUAUGGCACUCAUCCUACUUGGUGUAAAAUCCUGGGAUGAUAGCUUAUAAUAGUAAUAAUAAGACCUGCUUCCCGGUGAUUCUGUAAGGAUUAAAUCAGUUCAUGGAGAUGAAAUACUUAAACUGUGCCUGGCACAAAGUAAAUGUUAGUGCUACUGUUAUCCCUACUGCUGUUAACCCCAACUAGAUAAGCCAAGAUAAGGUCCUCUCCAUUGUUUACCUGAACAGGCAGAAAAGCUCUAUGCAGCUAUCCAGACCCAAGAGGAUCCGACAGCUCUGGAACUUGUAAUAUUUGCAGGACCUCUUGCCCUCUUAAUGUCUAAAAAGUCAAAAAAGGACACGUAUGCCUAGAAAACAUGAAUAAUUAUCAUAUAUCAAAUAUUUGCCAUGUGUCAAGCAUAGUCAUAUUUAGCUAACGAAAACAACAAAAUCAACCGUGACAAGGUUUUAUUAGUAAUGAUACUGAGGCUUCCGGAGGAUCUGUAACUGUUGCAAAUUUCCAGUGGCCAGUUCAGGGACAGUGCCAGGACUUGAACCCCUGUCUCUGUGUCUCUCAGCUCAUAAGGUGUGCUACCAAGUCACCCAUGAGUAGCAAUUAGGCGCCUUCUAACAUGUCCAGCUUUAAACCUGUGACCUCAAGGCAAAUGACUUCCACAUCUCAUUACCACUCCCCAGAGCCUUCCAGCCCCCUGUAGGAGAGGGAGGUUAAUCAGCCACGCGCUGAAUCUGCUUAUAAGGCUGUUUCAUGUAUGAUUUUUAUGUCUUGGCUCCUAAUAAUGGCCCUGUUGUAAAUGAUUGUCUCACUAUGAUAUACGGGUUCCUUGCCUUCUAGGAACUGAUUUAAAAGGAAGCCCUAGACUUCUUGUGCCUAUAGAGUUUAUUCAUAUCACUCUUUGCUUGCUCAGCAGCUGAAAUGGGAUGGAGGAAAGCCCCCUAACUCCAAAAAAAAAAAAAAAAAAAAACUUUCUUCCCAGCCUGAGACAGUUGCCAUAAUUAGUAACCUCCAGCUCCCUUGAUAUCUUGAUGAUACUUUAUUAAAACAAACAAACAAAAAAACAACAAAAAACACAGCUGGGCGCGGUGGUUCACGCCUGUAAUCCCAGCGCUUUGGGAGGCCAAGAUGGGCAGAUCAUGUGAGGUCAGGAGUUUGAGACCAGCCUGACCAACAUGGAGAAAACCUGUGUCUUCUAAAAGUACAAAAUUAGCCAGGCAUGGUGGUGCAUGCGUGUAAUCCCAGCUACUCAGGAGGCUGAGGCGGGAGAAUCAUUUGAACCCGGGAGGUGGAGGUUGUGGUAAGCUGAGAUCAUGCCGUUGCACUCCAGCCUGGGCAACAAGAGUGAAACUCUGUCUCAAAAAUAAAUGAAUGAAUGAAUGAAAUACUACUUCUCCCUGUCCUCCCCACCCUAAGCAUCUGAUCAGACAGGUAGUGCUGGUGGACAGAUGGACAGACGCCUACCCCAUGUGUCACCUCCCUCCUCUAUGCAAACAAAAAUUUUAAUUAUUUCUAGAAUGACUUAGGAGAGCAAGUCAUGUGGGAUAUAUAGCGUCAGGGAGCGUAUUUUCAAACCAAAAACCUGGGCCCUUUUUUUUUUUUUGAGACAGAGUUUUGCUCUUGUCCCUCAGGCUACUGUACAGUGGGGCAAUCUCAGCUCACUGCAACCUCCGCCUACCAGGUUCAAACGAUUUUCCUGCCUCAGCCUCCCAAGUAGCUGGGAUUACAGGAGCCUGCCACCACGCCUGGCUAAUUUUUUGUAUUUUUAGUAGGGAUGGGAUUUCACCAUGUUUACCAGGCUGGUCUACAACUCCUGAACUCAAGUGAUCUGCCCGCCUUUGCCUCCCAAAGUGCUGGGAUUACAGGCCUGAGCCACUGCGCUCAGCCAAACCUCGGCACUUUUAUCCAACAAAUAUUUGUUUCGUGACUAUUAUGAGUCAGGCUUAAGACUAUGCUAGUAGGUACAGCAGGAGAGCAUAUAGAAGAGGACACAUGUAGAAAAUUGGGAAGGCAUGUUAGGAAUAUAGAUAGGAAUUACUAAGGAAAAUUGUAUUUUUGUGGAAUUCUUUGAACUCGUUACUAUUAGUAAACGGUGAGUUUUGGUUCUACUCUUCAGUGAGUUUAAGAUGAAGGAAAUCAUUAAAUAGUGCUUUCUUUUCUUCAAAAGUUGGGUUGCAUUGCAUAGUUAAAGUUCUUUAAAUUCUUCUCUAAACCCCAAGGCUAAGCGAUAUACAAUCUAGUUACAAUGGUCUGCUUGCUGUUAUCAGAAUCUAUCAAGCUCUUUCCUAUCUAAGGGUUUUUUCCAUGUACUGGUUUGUCUCCUGCGUGGUCUUAUUCUACCCUUGAGGAGGGUACCACCUCCUCAUUCCUUAGUUGUCAGUAUAAAUGCUCCUUCCUCAGAGAGGCCCAUCCUGACCAUCUGUGUUUUUUUCCUAUCAAUGCUUUAACAAAUGACCACCCAUGGGUGGCUUAAAUACCAUGAAUGUCUUCUCUUACCAUUCUGGAGGUCAGAAGUCCAAAAUGGGUCUGUCUUAGUCCUUUUCUGUUGCUAUAAAGGAAUGCCUGUGCUGGGUCAUUUACAAAGGAAAGAUAUUUAUUUGGCUCAUGUUUCUGCAGGAUGUCCAAGAAGCAUGGUGCCAAUGUAUUUCUGAUGAGGGCUUCCGGCAGCUUUUACUCAUGGUGGAAAGUGAAGGGGGAUCAGCAUGUUCAGAGAACAUAUAGGGAGAAAGGGAGCAAGAGAGGGGAGGGGAGGUGCCAGGGCCUUUAAAAGAACCAACUCUCUGGGAACAAAUAGAGGGAGAACAUUAAUCUAGCCAUGAGGGAUCCGCCCCCGUAACCUAGACUCCUGUCAUCAGCCCCGGCCUCCAACAUUGGAGAUCGAAUUUCAACAUGAGAUUUGGAAGCAACAGACAUCCAAACUAUAGCAGGGUCUCCCUGGGCUGAAAUCAAGGUGUUGGCAGGGCUGGGCUCUGGGGGCUUCUGGGGAGAAUUUGUUCUGACUUUUUCGAUUUCUAGAGGCCACCUGUGUUCCUUGGCUGGGGGCCACAUCUUCCAUCCUUAAAACCAGCAGUGCAGCGUCUUCAAUUCUGUCCCUGGCUCUGCCCCUUCUCUCCCCCUCCUAUCCCCCUUUGUCAUCUUUUUAGGUUUAUUUGUGACCUUUUAGAUCCUUUGUGACUGCAUUGGUCUCCCUUGGGUAACUCUGCAUACUCUCCUCAUGUCAAGAACUUACCUCCCUCUACAAAGUCCCCUCUGCCAUGCCAAAUAACACAUUUGCAGGUUUCAGGGUAGAGCAUGGAUGCCUUUUGAUUUUGAUUUGGUUGUUUUUGGUAGAGAUGAUGUCUUGCUGUAUUGCCAGGCUGAUCUCGGACUCCUGGGCUCCAUCAAUCCUCUUGCUUCCCAAAGUGCUGGGAUUAUAGGUGUGAGCCAGUACACUUGGCCUUUUGGCACCAUUAUUCUGCCUGCCAUCCUGUCCUAACUAAAGAAAGUAAGGUCCCUCCAUCCUCCGUCUUAGCCCUUCUUUCCUUAGCCUCCUAACACUCAACGCAAUUUAUAUAUUUUAAUUUUUUUUUUGAGACAAAGUUUCACUCUGUCACCCAGGCUGGGGUGCAGUGGCGUGAUCUUAGCUCACUGCAACCCCUGUCUCCCGGAUUCAAGCAAUUCUCUGGCCUCAGCCUCUCUGGUAGCUGGAAUUACACGUAUGUACCACUACUCCCGGCUAAUUUUUGUCUUUUUAGUAGAGACUAGGUUUCACCAUGUUGGCCAAGCUGAUCUCAAACUCCUGACCUCAGGUGAUCCGCCCUACUGGGCCUCCCGUAGUGAUAGGAUUACAGGCCAUUGUGCCUGGCGUAUAUAUUUUAAAUUUUAUUUUUCAGUUUACUUGGUUUUGCCUCCUUCUAGAACUAGAACAUAAGCUCUCUGAAGUCAGGGACCAUGCCUAGAAUCGCCUUCCUUUUAUCUCCCAUCAGCCGAAACUAACUCUGCUGUGUCACGCUGUGUUAGGCUGUGUUGGCUGUGAGUAAGAGAAGUCUCACCCAACUAGCUGAAGCAAGGUGGGUUGGAGGGGGGAUGCCUUGUGGAAGUGACAACUCUAGGCAUGUAACUGGCUCAGACUCUGCUGGGCCCAGAUAUACAGAUGUCAUCAAGAGUCUUUCUCUUCCUUUUGAGCCCAGCUUUCCCUUUGUGACCCAGCAACUUCCUUGCCCGAUGAUGGCCAAGCCUUGAGGAUGUGAAACUGCCCAGUGCCCCAGUCUGGAGUCCACCAUCCUGGGUCUAGCUGGGGACAUCCUUGAAUCAGCCUCUGGGAAUCACUGAACCAACAUGAGUCGCUUGCUACUGUGAGAUCUCAAAACACAUGGAUCAGGACAGAGGGCAGGGCUGUUUCCCCAAGGAAAUCCAAAUGCUUUACAGGAAGGGGAAUGGAUGCUGGCCAGGCCCAGGCGAGGAUGAGGAGUAACUGAGCUGCAGACCCUUGUUUAGCCCUCCUUCCACCUGGGAGACUGGCUGCUGGUUCUCAUUGCUUCUGUGGGUCUCCAGGUUUCUAUCAUUACACAGAUUAGCACACGGUUACAUGAUCAUGGACCUGUUCAGUACACAAUGAAAUCAUUUGCAAAGCACCUUGGGGUCUGUUAGAGAAGGGAAUGGAUGUCUGAGGUAUGCUAAGCCUAAUCUCCAUCUUCUCAAAGCUCCACUGCCACUGUCCCGUAAGGGUGGGCAGAUUCCUCCCCAUUCUAUAAAAUAACAGCUACCAUUUCCUGAGGGCAUACUGAGUGCUGGCAGGCACAUCAACAUCAGACCAUCACCUUCUUAUACCUCAAAAUAGUCUGCAGGGUGAUUCAGAAUCUCCUGGCUGGUAAGUGGCAGAUCCAGAGAUGAAACCCAGAUCUAACUGGACCCAAGACAGAAAUUUCUAGAACAGAAGCCACAAACGUGUUAGCUAAGUCUGGUUAUGUCAAGUGGAAUAUUGCUGGCUUUGGGGGAUCCCAGCUCUUUUUUUCUCUCUCACUCUGAGAAUUUAGAGGCUUUUAUUGCUAUUUUUCUAAAAGGCAACAUUAGUAAUCAACUUUGCCAAAAAUUUCAUAUGAACGGUGGGCUUUUCUUUCUCAUUUGCUUUCGCUUAGUAUUUUCCAUUAUUCAUUUGGCUUCUUGAACCCUCUCUAUCUGUACCCCACACUUACUCUUAUUCACCCAGAACAGGUGUGUGCCACCUUGGAGAAGAUGAAGCCAGAGAGAAAAUCAGUCAGAAAGGAAUUAUGUUGAAAGGUGACUGAAUACAUUACCACCUCCCAGGAGUUGAAUGAAAAACGGCUAUUUCUUUAGGACAUCAAACCACCUUUUUCCUCUCUAAUUCAUGCAUAUCCCUAUACAAAGACCCAAGGUGGUGAGGGGCUGGUUUUUAGAUAGUCUGGAGGCCCUCUGAGAAUGCGAGGCCCUUGUUGUAAGGAAACGCUGGUGGGUGCUCACUCCUUCAUCAGGAGCCAGCCGGCUCCCCUGCACUUACUGCUUUGGGGAAGAGUUUUUGUCAAGAUCAUUUUUGCAGAUGGCUGUAAGAUAAACAGUCACUGGUCCCUAGGAUAUCUCGCUAAUGAGACACCAAAGAUACACAUGGACAAUGGCCAGACCAUAUUUGGUCACAGAAUGCCGACCCACAAGCUCUGGAGCAGUCAACUCAGAAUGGUCAGGAUUUGGUCAGUAAUGCCCAUUUUUGCUAAAUUUUGUCCCCACUUCCAACGCAGGACCAACCAGAGAAAGCCACAUAUGCUCCCCAAACCAAUCAUACAGGAUGUCCUGGUCUAGGGAGCCCACCUCCGGCUUCCCCAUGUCCACAGCCUCCAAUCGGAGCAUACUGGAAGUCAUCCACUUUCUUUUUUGUUUAACCAUAAAGCUUUCUUUCUCCCCACCUCCUUUGAGUCUCUGCCAAACACAACUGAUGGUGGCUGACUGCCUGGCUGCAGGAAGUUCUGAAUAAAUGACCUCCAUUUGUUAUUAUUUGGGUUCCCUUUGUUUAUUUCUACAGUAGCUUUGCACUAGGUUAAUUUUUUCCCACAUGGCUUUUCCUGUUUGUUUCUUUGAUUGUUUUUAAUUAAUAAUUAGUUUGCUUAUUUAUUUGUUUAUUUUUUGAGAGGGAGUCUCGCUCUGUCACCCAGGCUGGAGUGCAGCAGUGUGAUCUUGGCUCACUGCAAACUCCACCUCCCAGGUUCAAGGGAUUCUCCUGCGUCAGUCUCCCAAGUAGCUGAGAUUACAGGCGCCCACCACCAAGCCCAGCUAAUUUUUUUGUUUUUUUUUGUAUUUUAGUAGAGACGGGAUUUCACCAUGUUGGCCAGGCUAGUGUCAAACUCUGGACCUCAAAUGAUCCAACCGCCUCGGACUUCCAAAGUGCUGGGAUUACAGGCGUGAGCCACCAUGACUGACCUGUUUUUAAUUUUUUUGGAGACAGAGUUUCACACUGUUUACCAGAUUGGAGUGCAGUGGUGCAAUCCUAGCUUACUGCAGCCUGUAGGUCCCGGGCUCAAGCGAUCUUCCCACCUCUGCCACUUGAAUAGCUGGGACUACAGGUGGGUACCACCAUAUCCAGCUGUUGAAAAAAAAAUGGUGGGGUAUUACUCUGUUGCCCAGGCUGGUGUUGAACUCUUGGCCUCAAGCGAUCCUCCUGCCUCGGCCUCCCAAAGUGCUGGGAUUACAGGCUUGAGCUACUGCCCCAGGCUCUUCCCCCGUUUGUUAAUACAUACCAUGGCCUUGGCCUUUCCCACCUCUUAGGUUUUGCUUACUUUCCCUUCUGUCCUUUACUUAUGACUCUGCCCCCUUUUGACCUCUGCUAAAAUUAUUUGUUACUGUUGUUACGUUAUUAUUUCAUGUGUUAAGUCUACAGUGUAUAACUUGGGUUUACUGAUCUCAUUUAACCCUUAGGAAAACCUCACACUUAAAUACUCAAAGCCUUGAUUUUGCAGGUCUGAUUGAUGGGCAUACAGAGGAAUUAAAUGACCUUGUCUUCCACAUAUGGUAAGCCACAGUAGUGGAAGCAGGAUCCAAAUCUGUGUCUGUGUUUGGAUCAACAGCCCUGGCCAUCAUCUUGAUUCAUUUCUCUUAUCUGUAAUUCUAUGGAGGGAGGUUCCAUUGUAUAUUUUUUUCUUUCAAUUACAGUAUUAUUUGUAUAUUGGAAGCCUAUUGUACUUUAUCUGUGUAACUAUCGUAGCAGCUAGAGGCUAGUAGGACUGGCUGAAAUGUCAGAGGAAGGAGGGAAGAAAAGGGAGAAAAGCAGGACAAAUGAACGCAGAUUAAGGAAAAUAAAAAAGAGUGUUUGGCUAACUUGCAUAAAAAGGAUCUCAUUUUUCUUUGUAACACAUUACUACAUACAGUGACCAUAGUGUUUCUCUAAUUUCUUCAGGAUGUACUUUGAAGAUGAAGAAGUAUGUGUAUCCGCUUUUUGUCUUUCAGAAUAACAUACUGCUGUCUGUAAAAAUACAGAUAAUUUCUCUCUUAAAUUCCAUAAGCUGGAGACACUGCCCCUGUUUCAAAUGAAUACAGAUUCAUUUUGUCACCUGUGUGAAAUUGGUGUCCAUGUGCCUUGCUUCCUAGGCUGUCCACCAUGGCAUCAGCCUGCCCAUGCAAUACUUGAGAUUUGCCCUGUGACUCAACCCAAAUCUAAAGCCCGAGUCGUAUGAAUCCAGGACACCUGCCUGCAAAUGCAUUUUUCAUGUAUAGGUUAUUCACUCUGGUCUUUGAGAUUAUGUAAUUAGCAUAUGUUGUCAUAGUGAUGUAUUUAUCAUAAUGGAGGUGUUCUCAGGAAACCAGAUUUAAUAGUUUUAAAUCAGAGGCCAACAUGGACUUUUAGGAAUUCCAUUCACAGUAAAUUUUAUGCAUGGUGAAAGGUUAUGGAAUGGGUUUCCAUGCCAUGUCUCCCCCUGUCCCACAAAUCUCAGCUGGCCUGCAAAGGUUCCACUGUGGAUUUCUGCCAGCCAGCCACGCUGAUGUAGACAGAAUAUUUCGGAUUUAUAUUAUUGCUUACUUGGCACAUCUUCCAUUGGAAAUGGAAUAGAGAAAAGGUGGCUUGGCUGUUUGGUUUAUGUCCUAAAACCUUAUCGUAAUGUGAUUCUCCUUAACAGAGGGAUUCGUAAGCUUAGGACUGAUAGAAAUUUGGCUUUUCUGCUGUUGGAUUGAUAGCUCCUUGACUGCUGAAGCCAUUGCCCAUCUGUUCAACUGUUGUAUUCUCGAGGAGGUUAGACCCCUGACCCAAGGCCCAGGUACCUGGCUUUUCUCAGUUGGGAUCAGAAGGCCACAAAGUUUUCUUAUAUUUUAAGCAUCAAAGUAGCACCACUGUACAGCAUCUUUACUUAAUCUGCCCUCUUUCACGUGUGUGCAUCCCUGGCAUGCUUAAACAAGAAAGGCAAAUGAGAGAGAGCGAGCAAGUGCGAGCGAGAGAGCCCUGAGGUGCCAGAAGGCUGUGGUUCCUUUGUGUCUACAGAAAAGAUAUAACGAUUGAAUUAGACUCUUAAAUAUCUGUGGAUGUCAGGUUGAAUACAAGCAGCUAUUCAGUGUUUUACUCUGGCAGGAGAACAAGUCCCCUGGAGGUCGGAAGCCAUGCAGGUCCCUGGAAGUGUGAGCAGAUUGUUAAAAUGGUAUCAAAGAUGGGCUGGCAUGAGGCCGGAGUCUAUCCUUGAUGCUCACCUGAGGUCUAGGGCUAAACUCUUGCCUUUACCUGUUCCAUGCUUAGCCGUUCCUGCUUUUUGCCUAGAACCUCAGUGCUAUUGCUCACACAGACCCAGCUCAUGUCCCCAGGCCAUGACCACUGCCUCCCCUUCUCCCACCUGUGCAGGUGUGAAGCAUCAGUACAUAACUGAGGAGUAGGAGGGCAGCAGCCCAAAUCUUUGAUGAAGAACCUCUUUCAUAUCAGCUUAUGCUUUGGAACGAGACGCUGUUGGAUGGCAAUCUGGCUUCUAACAAACUGAUUGGUUGGACUCAUGCCUUAUUCUUUCGGAGCCUUAGUUUUGUCAUGUGUAGAAUGGGGAGUAUUGCUAGCUGUUCCCAUAUGGAGUGAGAGAGAGUGUAAGUAAAAUGGAAUGGCAGGCACAGGGAUGGUUGCCAUUAUCAGUUACAUUAUUAUGAGGAUUAUUUUCUACCUAGAUCAGGUAUAAGGUGGAUGUAUUAUUGGCAUUCCUAGGACUGUUUUAAAGGAAGUACCUAUGAGGCCUCAUGAUAAGCCAGAUGUCCAGAAGCCAGCUUGAGACCAGGGCUCCUGGUCACUUAAAAGAUGUUUGGGGCUGGGCGUGGUGUCUCACACCUGUAAUCCCAGCACUUUGGGAGGCUGAGGUGGGCAGAUCACGAGGUCAAGAGAUCGAGACCAUCCUGGCCAAUAUGGUGAAACCUGUCACUACUAAAAAUCCAAAAAUUAGCUGGGCGUGGUGGUGAGCACCUGUAAUCCCAGCUACUCGGGAGCCUGAGGCAGGAGAAUCACUUGAACCCGAGAGGUGGAGGUUGCAGCGAGCCAAGGUCAUGCCAGUGUACUCCAGCCUGGGUGACAGAGCGAGACUCCAUCUCAAAAAAAAAAAAAAAAAGAAAAAGAAAAAGAAAAA
Molecule: long non-coding RNA, 26390 nt
Organism: Pan troglodytes (chimpanzee)
Lineage: Eukaryota; Metazoa; Chordata; Mammalia; Primates; Hominidae
Exons: 2
Source: RefSeq, a predicted model, not a curated record